This 607-nucleotide ribosomal RNA is filed under the name uncultured bacterium. RNAcentral describes it as "bacterial SSU rRNA". It matches the Rfam family "Bacterial small subunit ribosomal RNA", at positions 223 to 827 of the family's 1533-position model. The record is from RNAcentral.
GGAUGGGCAUGCGGCGCAUUAGCUAGUCGGCGGGGUAACGGCCCACCGAGGCGACGAUGCGUAGGGGUUCUGAGAGGAAGGCCCCCCACACUGGUACUGAGACACGGACCAGACUCCUACGGGAGGCAGCAGUGAGGAAUAUUGGUCAAUGGGCGCGAGCCUGAACCAGCCAAGUCGCGUGAGGGAGGACGGCCCUACGGGUUGUAAACCUCUUUUGCCGGGGAGCAACGGGCGUCACGUGUGGCGCCACUGAGAGUACCCGGAGAAAAAGCAUCGGCUAACUCCGUGCCAGCAGCCGCGGUAAUACGGAGGAUGCGAGCGUUAUCCGGAUUUAUUGGGUUUAAAGGGUGCGUAGGCGGAUCGUUAAGUCAGUGGUCAAAUUGAGGGGCUCAACCCCUUCCCGCCAUUGAAACUGGCGAUCUUGAGUGGAAGAGAAGUAUGCGGAAUGCGUGGUGUAGCGGUGAAAUGCAUAGAUAUCACGCAGAACCCCGAUUGCGAAGGCAGCAUGCCGGCUUCCGACUGACGCUGAAGCACGAAAGCGUGGGGAUCGAACAGGAUUAGAUACCCUGGUAGUCCACGCGGUAAACGAUGAGCGCUAGGUGUCCGG